ACAUACUCACACAUUAUCUCUCUCUCAGGGCAUACUGGGGUCUUAGGAACCAUUUCCCGGGGGAGGCAGACUCUCUGUUCAACUCGUUAGAACCGUCCUAUCAGAAGAGCCUCCAAUCGUCUCUCAAGAGUUCUGGGAGCGUGACGUCUCUUCCUCAGAGCGACCGCUCCUCUUCCUCAUCACAGGAGAGCCUUAAUCGUCCUCUGUCAUCUAAAUGGUCAGCUGCUCCUGGAAGAGUCCCGGCGGGUCAUAAGGGCGGGGUGUCGCCGGAGC
Molecule: long non-coding RNA, 273 nt
Organism: Oncorhynchus gorbuscha (pink salmon)
Lineage: Eukaryota; Metazoa; Chordata; Actinopteri; Salmoniformes; Salmonidae
Exons: 3
Source: RefSeq, a predicted model, not a curated record